CACUGAGCUUCCGCGUGAGCUGUGCUCUCCUCCCGGAUUGCUCACUCCCUUCUUCUUAGAGAAUACAUGCUCUUCUUCUAAAGGUUGGCUCAAGAAUCUCCUCCAUUAUAAAGCUGUCCUAGCCUCCCCAGUGGCAGCCCUGAAUGCACCUAGUGAUGGCCACAAGAAGAAAGCAGAUUGGAUCCCCGAAUGAUCUUGGAAGGGACUACCCCAGUGAGCUGACUGACCUGCAGCGGAUUUUGAAUGAACAAUAAAUCAGCUUUUAUGUGUCAA
Diceros bicornis minor is the source of this 273-nucleotide long non-coding RNA. RefSeq lists it as uncharacterized. Lineage: Eukaryota; Metazoa; Chordata; Mammalia; Perissodactyla; Rhinocerotidae. The transcript has 2 exons. The record is from RefSeq and is a predicted model, not a curated record.